Ictalurus punctatus (channel catfish) is the source of this 3079-nucleotide long non-coding RNA. Lineage: Eukaryota; Metazoa; Chordata; Actinopteri; Siluriformes; Ictaluridae. The record is from Ensembl.
UUUGCAUCAGCCAAACAGAUGCUCCAGUUUAGGGGGUUAUCUGUUGGAGCCUUUGAGUUUUUAUAUUUGGUGAUCUUUUAAUACCGUGACACAAUAUUUCCACAGAACAUGACAAGAUUUUGAGCUCACUGCAAGUGUUUUCCUUCCUUCUCCAUUGCGCUUUAGAGUUGUGCAUGCAUGCGUGUGUGUGUGAGAGAGAGAGAGAGAGGUCUGGUGUUGUGUAACUAUAAUGUUGUGCACAGCUGCUCAAACACACACACACACAUACGCACACACACUCAGAUCUUAUUCACAAGCACGCAUCCAGAUGGCUGAGAGGGGAAGUCAAGAGAAGAAAAGCCACAUCUGAGUGUACAUCAUGUUCACAUUUUCUUGGAUGUUGAUCUCUGAGCAUCUGAACGACUCCGGUUUAAGUUUUGAGUUCAGUUUUUGACAAUUCUCCUGAAUCCUGGACGUGUUUUUGUUUUGAGUUUGCAUGUGGAGGAUAAAGUGUAACUGUCUGUGCGGGUGGCCAAGCUAAAAAAUGACAGCAAUGCUCUGCUCUGUAGUCUAACGUUUUAACCCGACCAUGGGGAUCUCUGGGAGCAGAGGGAAAAAAGUGGCACCUGCGUCUGUGAGAGAGGGAGACCCAAGCUCCACUGUUAGUGUUUCUUGGAAAAACAUUCGGAAGGAUCUUCUCAGCAACAAGCAAGUCACACAGUUUUCAACAGAUGGUAGAAACCUGGCAGGGGAAGUGGACCGAAUUCUCAAGGAAUGUGAAGACACGCAGGACGUGAAGAGAGGUUUUCCGAAAAGUCCGUUGUACAUGUGCAAAAAUUACACCUUCUGUUACAACCAAAGAGAUCAGCAUGACACAGACGUUGAGAGCACACACACUGCUGACAUUAUUCUACCCACUGAUCUACUCAAGCCUGGCAGAUUUGAAGACAAAAAGGAUAUCUGUACCUUCAAUAAACUAAACAUGCCCCGGAAACAGACUGCAGUGACAGCACUGAGAGCAGAUCUGGUGUAUACAAAGACAACACAUGUUCCUGGUGUUUGUGAUGACAUUUCGCUGGCUUUGCCUGUGUCAUAUGAUGCUUCUGAAGAAGACUUGAUGAGUGCAAUAGAGAGAGAAUUUGGAUAGCAUAAUAAUGAGGCAGUUUAUCUUGGAUGCAAAUUUGUAAAGCAAAUACUUGCUUUACAAAACCCAAACAGUAUCUUAAUGCAAAAAAUACAGAUGUCUGUUUUAUAUAAAUCCUGCUCUCUGUAAAUUCUGGCUUUAAAUAUGUCUUUCUAUUUGCCAAAAUGCUUGUUAUGUACUUGUAUUGUACUGUGUUGUGUUGUAUUGUAUUAUAUUGUGUUGUACUUUUUUUCCACUUGCAUGCAAAGCCUUCAAUCAGAUGAAUUCUUUUUGAUAUGCAUUACACAGGAGAUAGAAUUCAGUAUUUCCAUGGCCACAAAAUAAUUUCAGGGGGAAAAAUGUGCGUGUCUGGAAUGUAUGUUUAAGUACCAUUUCCUGGCCGCAGUUUAUGUGGAGCUCUCCACCCCUCAGUAGUGGAAUGCACAUUGACAUGGUUUGGGAUGUAGUUCCUAAAUGAAGGCCCCUUUUCUCCAUCGCAACUGCACUGUGAUGUGAAUCACACAUUGAUACCAAAAACCCACAGAUGUGGUUAUGGGUAGGAAUAAAUCAUCCAAGCGAAUCUUCAUAGUGGAGCUUCAGUUUGAAUUAUGCUCACUAGUAUAGUUUAUAGUUUGUUUUUGUUGCUGGUAGAUGAAAUUACAUUUUAUUUAAUCUUUGAUGGAUCCUCUAAUGAUAGCCUUUAAACAGGUAUUUUGAUUAUUCAGUUUAUACAGUAAGUAAGACUUACUGUAAUGUUUAGUUACAUAUGUCAAAUUGAUAUUAUAUAAAUGCAUAAAAGCAGUUUACUCACCCGCAUACUCUCUCAGACAUGCGCUCAGGUCAGGACUGUAGAUUAAGAAUGCAACAUACAGUAUAGCUUUCUUUCUUUCUUUAUUGAUUUGAUCUCAAUAGGACAGUUCCAGUUCAAACUGAAGAAGAUAUAUUUUGCUGCUUUAUUCAGAAGGAUUUUGCUGCUCACUUAGCUGGUCGAAGAGAAUCUAUGUAUGUAUGUAUUUUUACUUCUUAUUUUUCAAACAUUGUUAUAUGUAGUGCCCUAGUGUUUAGAGCAUACGGUUAGCUUUGUAUUUCUGGAGAUUGUAUUUAGACUUUAAACGUCAUAAACGUUGUGUUUGUUUGUGAAAAUUGUCUUGAUGGACAAAACAUGUUAGUGUUGUACAUUUUUGUUGAUUACAUAGACUUGCACCCCGUCCAGGGUGUCCCCCGCCUUGUGCCCCAUGCCUCUUGGGAUAGGCUCCAGAUUCCCACGACCCAGUAAGGAUAAGCGGGUACAUGGAUGGAUGGAUAUAUAAUAUUAUAUUGUUAUUAUAUUAUAUUAUAUUAUAUUAUAUACUUAUAUUAUAUUCUUCAAUUAUAUUGUAUACUUUGAUCAUAUUAUAUACUUCGAUUAUAUUAUAUUAUAGACUUCGAUAAACAUUUUUCCACACUUUUCAAAUUCUUAUGUUAUGUACGUGUGAAAUAAUUAGUAAAUGUCCCUUAAGAGAGUAAAAUGAAUAUAGAGCACAGCACGGUUUAGUCCACAGGGUGUCGCUGUUCCUGGACCGCUGACCGGUACUGUAGUAAACACGGCGAGUAAAAGGCGGGGGGCGGGGUGUCGCUUCUGAAAUCUGAUUGGUCGCGCCUAUCAGCGCUUCCGUAAACCACGCCGGUCAAUUGGUCUGUAAAUAACGUCGUUACUGGGUGUGUAAGGGAUUUACCCGUUUUCUAUACCGAAUAUAAAGAAGAGAAGAAAAGUCUCUUCAGCCUCAAAAUCUGAUCUCUGGGGAAGUGAAGUGUCUAAUAUGAUGCCUAUAUAAAACAGUGACUAUUUUUGGUUGCUUUUUUUCUUCCAAGACACUACGUGUGAAUAAGGUUUAUUUGUUAAUUGAAUAAUUUAGUGUUUGCCCUUUAAGUGAUGUUUAUAAGGUUUAUAAAGGAAAUCGGUGUAUAUAAAAAUGAGACGGACCUAUAUAACCCGGG